This 373-nucleotide ribosomal RNA is filed under the name uncultured bacterium. RNAcentral describes it as "bacterial SSU rRNA". It matches the Rfam family "Bacterial small subunit ribosomal RNA", at positions 524 to 898 of the family's 1533-position model. The record is from RNAcentral.
UACGGAGGGUGCGAGCGUUAUCCGGAAUUACUGGGUUUAAAGGGUGCGUAGGCGGCUUUGUAAGUCAGGAGUGAAAGUUUGCGGCUCAACCGUAAAAUUGCUUCUGAUACUGCAUCGCUAGAAUCAGGAUGAGGUCAGCGGAAUGUGGCAUGUAGCGGUGAAAUGCAUAGAUAUGCCAUAGAACACCAAUUGCGAAGGCAGCUGGCUAGACCUGUAUUGACGCUGAGGCACGAAAGCGUGGGGAGCGAACAGGAUUAGAUACCCUGGUAGUCCACGCCCUAAACGAUGCUUACUCGACGUAUGGCCCUAGUGGUUGUGCGUCCAAGGGAAACCGUUAAGUAAGCCACCUGGGGAGUACGACCGCAAGGUUGAA